GUGUUUAAGUACUCAAUUGCUUGUUUUACUUCCUUUUCUGUGUAUGGGUCAAUUGAUGGCAAAUUCUGACUGAAAGUUUCCUCAACUAUUUUCUGUCUUAUUUGGCAGAGUUCCAGAUAUGCAUUGUCAUAUUCGUUCUCUUUUGGAAGGCUGAGAUCUUCGUAGUAGUUUGCGAAGGAUCGGCUUUGAUUUUGGGAAGAGAAGUCAAAUUUACCGUCAAUUUCCAAGCCAGAUGUUUCCGUUUUAGACUUUGAUUUAUU
This 260-nucleotide long non-coding RNA is filed under the name Mytilus galloprovincialis (Mediterranean mussel). Lineage: Eukaryota; Metazoa; Mollusca; Bivalvia; Mytilida; Mytilidae. The record is from RNAcentral.